AGAGUUUGAUCAUGGCUCAGAUUGAACGCUGGCGGCAGGCCUAACACAUGCAAGUCGAACGGUAACAGGAAGCAGCUUGCUGCUUUGCUGACGAGUGGCGGACGGGUGAGUAAUGUCUGGGAAACUGCCUGAUGGAGGGGGAUAACUACUGGAAACGGUAGCUAAUACCGCAUAACGUCGCAAGACCAAAGAGGGGGACCUUAGGGCCUCUUGCCAUCGGAUGUGCCCAGAUGGGAUUAGCUAGUAGGUGGGGUAAUGGCUCACCUAGGCGACGAUCCCUAGCUGGUCUGAGAGGAUGACCAGCCACACUGGAACUGAGACACGGUCCAGACUCCUACGGGAGGCAGCAGUGGGGAAUAUUGCACAAUGGGCGCAAGCCUGAUGCAGCCAUGCCGCGUGUAUGAAGAAGGCCUUCGGGUUGUAAAGUACUUUCAGCGGGGAGGAAGGGAGUAAAGUUAAUACCUUUGCUCAUUGACGUUACCCGCAGAAGAAGCACCGGCUAACUCCGUGCCAGCAGCCGCGGUAAUACGGAGGGUGCAAGCGUUAAUCGGAAUUACUGGGCGUAAAGCGCACGCAGGCGGUUUGUUAAGUCAGAUGUGAAAUCCCCGGGCUCAACCUGGGAACUGCAUCUGAUACUGGCAAGCUUGAGUCUCGUAGAGGGGGGUAGAAUUCCAGGUGUAGCGGUGAAAUGCGUAGAGAUCUGGAGGAAUACCGGUGGCGAAGGCGGCCCCCUGGACGAAGACUGACGCUCAGGUGCGAAAGCGUGGGGAGCAAACAGGAUUAGAUACCCUGGUAGUCCACGCCGUAAACGAUGUCGACUUGGAGGUUGUGCCCUUGAGGCGUGGCUUCCGGAGCUAACGCGUUAAGUCGACCGCCUGGGGAGUACGGCCGCAAGGUUAAAACUCAAAUGAAUUGACGGGGGCCCGCACAAGCGGUGGAGCAUGUGGUUUAAUUCGAUGCAACGCGAAGAACCUUACCUGGUCUUGACAUCCACGGAAGUUUUCAGAGAUGAGAAUGUGCCUUCGGGAACCGUGAGACAGGUGCUGCAUGGCUGUCGUCAGCUCGUGUUGUGAAAUGUUGGGUUAAGUCCCGCAACGAGCGCAACCCUUAUCCUUUGUUGCCAGCGGUCCGGCCGGGAACUCAAAGGAGACUGCCAGUGAUAAACUGGAGGAAGGUGGGGAUGACGUCAAGUCAUCAUGGCCCUUACGACCAGGGCUACACACGUGCUACAAUGGCGCAUACAAAGAGAAGCGACCUCGCGAGAGCAAGCGGACCUCAUAAAGUGCGUCGUAGUCCGGAUUGGAGUCUGCAACUCGACUCCAUGAAGUCGGAAUCGCUAGUAAUCGUGGAUCAGAAUGCCACGGUGAAUACGUUCCCGGGCCUUGUACACACCGCCCGUCACACCAUGGGAGUGGGUUGCAAAAGAAGUAGGUAGCUUAACCUUCGGGAGGGCGCUUACCACUUUGUGAUUCAUGACUGGGGUGAAGUCGUAACAAGGUAACCGUAGGGGAACCUGCGGUUGGAUCACCU
Molecule: ribosomal RNA, 1530 nt
Filed under: Escherichia coli HVH 90 (4-3191362)
Lineage: Bacteria; Pseudomonadati; Pseudomonadota; Gammaproteobacteria; Enterobacterales; Enterobacteriaceae
Description: bacterial SSU rRNA
Rfam family: Bacterial small subunit ribosomal RNA
Source: RNAcentral